This 646-nucleotide unclassified non-coding RNA is filed under the name uncultured Prochlorococcus sp. Its description in RNAcentral is "partial 16S-23S ribosomal RNA intergenic spacer; may also contain 16S ribosomal RNA and 23S ribosomal RNA". The stretch from base 305 to 377 matches the Rfam family "tRNA". The record is from RNAcentral. Lineage: Bacteria; Bacillati; Cyanobacteriota; Cyanophyceae; Synechococcales; Prochlorococcaceae.
UUGUGGAGGAGGACGCCGAAGGUGGGGCUAAUGACUGGGGUGAAGUCGUAACAAGGUAGCCGUACCGGAAGGUGCGGCUGGAUCACCUCCUAACAGGGAGACGACAAAAUGUUUAAUAUUAUUAUUUUGUCACCUUAGGUCGAUCGGUAUCUCACGUUCCUAAUUUAUUAAGAAUUUCAUUUCCUAAGUUUUUCUAGGUCACACCCAUUAUUUUUCCUGGGCCAUUAGCUCAGGUGGUUAGAGCGCACCCCUGAUAAGGGUGAGGUCCCUGGUUCAAGUCCAGGAUGGCCCAUAUCUCUAUGUUGGGGGUAUAGCUCAGUUGGUAGAGCGCCUGCUUUGCAAGCAGGAUGUCAGCGGUUCGAGUCCGCUUACCUCCACUGAUUACCACCUCUUCCAUAAAUUUCUAGAAAGGAAAUGUUUUGAGUUGUGAUCAAAUUCUGAACGAAUCUAGCUUCCUAAUGAAAUCAUUAAGAUGCUGGACUCAUUGAAUUAAUUUCAUUGUUUUCAGAGAACCUUGACAACUGCAUAGAUUAUUUUUAAAGACAAUAAGCAUCUUUAUGAUGCAGAUUUAUUAUUUGUGCGAAUGCAUUAAUAACAAUUCUAUUAAGCUGAUGCUUCGAUUUUGAAGUUAUUGGUCAAGCUACAA